Molecule: ribosomal RNA, 497 nt
Filed under: uncultured bacterium
Lineage: Bacteria
Description: partial 16S ribosomal RNA
Rfam family: Bacterial small subunit ribosomal RNA
Source: RNAcentral
GAUGAACGCUGGCGGCGUGCCUAAUACAUGCAAGUCGAGCGAACAGACGAGGAGCUUGCUCCUCUGACGUUAGCGGCGGACGGGUGAGUAACACGUGGAUCACCUACCUAUAAGACUGGGAUAACUUCGGGAAACCGGCGCUAAUACCGGAUAAUAUAUUGAACCGCAUGGUUCAAUAGUGAAAGACGGUUUUGCUGUCACUUAUAGCUGGAUACGCGCCGCAUUAGCUAGUUGGUAAGGUAACGGCUUACCAAGGCAACGAUGCGUAGCCGACCUGAGAGGGGGAUCGGCCACACGGGAACUGAGACACGGUCCAGACUCCUACGGGAGGCAGCAGUAGGGAAUCUUCCGCAAUGGGCGGAAGCUUGACGGAGCAACGCCGCGUGAGUGAUGAAGGUCUUGGGAGCGUAAAACUCUGUUAUGGGGGAAGAACAAAUGUGUAAGUAACUAUGCACGUCUUGACGGUACCUAAUCAGAAAGCAACGGCUAACUACGUG